RNAcentral lists this ribosomal RNA (304 nucleotides) under uncultured bacterium. Its description in RNAcentral is "partial 16S ribosomal RNA". It matches the Rfam family "Bacterial small subunit ribosomal RNA", at positions 506 to 807 of the family's 1533-position model. The record is from RNAcentral.
CAGCAGCAGCCGCGGUAAUACGAAGGGGGCUAGCGUUGCUCGGAAUGACUGGGCGUAAAGGGCGCGUAGGCGGUUCGUACAGUCGGAUGUGAAAUUCCUGGGCUUAACCUGGGGGCUGCAUUCGAUACGUGCGGGCUUGAGUGUGGAAGAGGGUUGUGGAAUUCCCAGUGUAGAGGUGAAGUUCGUAGAUAUUGGGAAGAACACCGGUGGCGAAGGCGGCAACCUGGUCCAUGACUGACGCUGAGGCGCGAAAGCGUGGGGAGCAAACAGGAUUAGAUACCCCCGUAGUCCCUGUCUCUUAUAC